CACGCCGUAAACUAUGAUCACUCGCUGUUGGCGAUACACAGUCAGCGGCUAAGCAAAAGCAUUAAGUGAUCCACCUGGGGAGUACGGCCGCAAGGCUGAAACUCAAAGGAAUUGACGGGGGCCCGCACAAGCGGAGGAACAUGUGGUUUAAUUCGAUGAUACGCGAGGAACCUUACCUGGGCUUAAAUGUGGAGUGCAUUGGUGAGAAAUCAUCAUUUUCUUCGGAACUCUCUGCAAGGUGC
Molecule: ribosomal RNA, 242 nt
Filed under: uncultured Bacteroidota bacterium
Lineage: Bacteria; Pseudomonadati; Bacteroidota
Description: uncultured Bacteroidetes bacterium partial 16S ribosomal RNA
Rfam family: Bacterial small subunit ribosomal RNA
Source: RNAcentral